UACGUAGGGUGCAAGCGUUAAUCGGAAUUACUGGGCGUAAAGCGUGCGCAGGCGGUUUUGUAAGUCUGUCGUGAAAGCCCCGGGCUCAACCUGGGAAUUGCGAUGGAGACUGCAGGCUUGAAUCUGGCAGAGGGGGGUAGAAUUCCACGUGUAGCAGUGAAAUGCGUAGAGAUGUGGAGGAACACCGAUGGCGAAGGCAGCCCCCUGGGUCAAGAUUGACGCUCAUGCACGAAAGCGUGGGGAGCAAACAGG
This 252-nucleotide ribosomal RNA is filed under the name uncultured bacterium. RNAcentral's name for it is "partial 16S ribosomal RNA". It matches the Rfam family "Bacterial small subunit ribosomal RNA", at positions 524 to 776 of the family's 1533-position model. The record is from RNAcentral.